This 624-nucleotide ribosomal RNA is filed under the name Antarctobius sp. ANM1. Its description in RNAcentral is "partial 16S ribosomal RNA". It matches the Rfam family "Bacterial large subunit ribosomal RNA", at positions 1819 to 2754 of the family's 2925-position model. Lineage: Eukaryota; Metazoa; Arthropoda; Insecta; Coleoptera; Curculionidae. The record is from RNAcentral.
GGCCUUUUGAUUAUAAUUUAAGGUCUGACCUGCCCAAUGAGAAUUUAAAUGGCCGCGGUAUUUUGACCGUGCAAAGGUAGCAUAAUCAUUAGUUUUUUAAUUGAAAGCUGGAAUGAAAGGUUGGAUGAAAAAAUAACUGUCUCUAUUUAAAUUUUUUAGAAAUUUAUUUUUAAGUCAAAAAGCUUAAAUAUUACUAGAAGACGAGAAGACCCUAUAGAGUUUUAUUAAUUUUUAUUAUAAGUUUUUUAGAAUUUACUUUUUUAUUAUAAAAAUUAAUUUGAUUGGGGUGAUUGAAAAAUUUAAUAAACUUUUUUUAUAUAAACACAUUUAUAUAUGAGUGAAUGAUCCUUAAAUAAAGAUUAUAAGAUACAAUUACCUUAGGGAUAACAGCGUAAUUUUUUUAAAGAGUUCAAAUCGAAAAAAAAGAUUGCGACCUCGAUGUUGGAUUAAAAUAAAAUUUUGGUGUAGAAGCUAAAAUAUUUAGGUCUGUUCGACCUUUAAAAUUUUACAUGAUCUGAGUUUAAACCGGUGUGAGCCAGGUUGGUUUCUAUCUCUAUUAAAUUUUAAUACUUUAGUACGAAAGGACCAAGUAUUUCAUUAAAAAUUUCGUUUAAGAAUAAAAUU